AGCUCGGCCCCACAGCUCCCCUGAGGCCCCCUGACGCCCACCAUGACUCUCCUCCAGCAGGCUGCAAUGAGGGAUGCUUUGGAGUCUAGGAGGACCUGGAAGCCCUCAGUGCAAAUCGAGCCUCAGUCACUUACUAGCUGAGAGAUCCUGGGGAAGUCCCUCCAAUUGCUUGCCUCAGUUUCCCUAAGAAUACAAUGGGGAUAACAGCAGUACCUCCCUCCUAGGGCACUGGGGAGGGUCAAAUGCCCUUUGCAUGGUGCCGGCCUCGUGGUCGGUGCUCUAUUUGUUCAGCUAUUCAGAGUCUUCCUGGCCCCCUUUGGGCUCUCCUGGCAGACAUUCUGGACUGCUUUGCCAUUUCUCCAGCUCAUUUUACAGAUGGAGAACUGAGGGAAACUGAGGACUGAUCUGAGAUGGAAGGUGAGGGGUUAAAAAAGAAACGCUGAGCACAUGGAUGAAAAAAACCCUUGGAAAGAGUCAGAUAAUGAAGGGUGAAAUGAGUUGGGGCAGGAGAACGUGACACACAGCCGUGGAACGAAUGCCGGAAGAGCAGCUGUUGGCUGGGGGAAGUGAAGCACUACAGGCUUCAUUCACCCGAAGGAACGUGACGGACUCCCAGAGGACACCGUCUGUGUCUUGGGGAAGCUGAGGCAGGGCUGGGCCCCUUGUGGAUGGCAUCUAUUAUGUGGAUGUGAAGUUCAGUGAGCUAAACAUGUUGGAGCUUUGAGACUGCAUUUGUGCACCCUCUGCUCCUUCUUUGGACAUGGACAUGCUGGUCUGUAACAUUUGGAUGAGUGUGUGAGGGCAGCGAAUUCAGGGAGAUGCCUCUUCUUGACUCCCAGGCCAGGGCUGCCUCCACUGUGCCACCUAGUGCCCAGCCAGUGUCAGCUGCCAUCCUCCUCCUCACUGGGGUGACCCUCUAUGAGCCCCAAUACCCAUGGCGAGGUCUCUGUUUCCAGGCUCUGCUGGCACCUGCCACCUCCAAGUGCAGGGCGUCACUGGGAGAUGAUGCUCUCCCUUCCAGUGAGUAAAUACAGCCGUAGCUGCCAGCAUCCUCAGCCUUCACAGAGGAGAGAGUGAAGUUGGCCACAUACCAUUGUGGUCUUUGUUGCUCUUCAGGUCCUGACACUCCAGGCCUCAGCAGAGAGACCGUGAAUUGUUGAUUAUGGUGGGUGACGCCUGGCACAGGAGGGUCACCGUCUCUCCUCCCGUGACCACAGUGCUUGGUGCUCCCCGUAAGGAGGGUUGGGCGAAAUGCCCUGGGAAGGAAAAGGAGCAGAAUCAGAAGACAGAUGGUCCUGCUGUCACUCUCAGCAAGGGAUGAGAUGCCAGCCAAAAGGCUCUUUGGAAUUCUAAUCAGGAAGCGCGUUAUGGAAAAAGAUCUUCCCGUGUGUGUAGAGAUGAGCUUCCCGGCAGUGCCUGUGUGGACAUUACGGGCCCGCCGCCAUUGGUGAGGGUAACAUUAAUUCCAUGUGGAUCAUGUGAGCCGCCGGCGGGCUCCGCCGGACCCUUCUCUUCCCUCUCCCGCCUGGCCCCAGACUGCAAGGGAGGCCAGAGGAGCCGGCGGGCGCGGGCACCCGGCGGGGGGAGGGCAGGAGGAGGGGUCCUGGAGCUGAGGAGCAGGGCCCCCAGUUUGUGCCUGCAGACGGAGGUGCUGCAGGACAUGGAGCCCGGGGACGAUGUCACCUGCUUCUACGGGCAGCGCAGAGCUGUGCGACUGCUGCACCAGUGAGAGGUGAGCCUGGCGGGGAGUGGGGGGACCUCGGGGCGCCCCCUGCCCGGCCCGGCAUCCCCGCCGCCUUCUCUCCUUCAGGAAGGGAGAAGGCGCCUUCCGUCUGCGCCCCCGGGAGCCCUCGGCGCCGACUCCCAGGACCUGUGAAAAGUACCAGCUGAAGGAGACCUAGAGGAGGCCUCAGCGCUACUGGGAGACCCGGGGGGCCCGGCAGGGGCUCGGGCCGCCGAGGGCCCAGCACUGCUCCCACUUCCACACCUUGCAGCGCCUGGACCUGCUGUGCACCCGCCCCGGGUCUCCUCCAGUGCAGCCGCGCUCUGACCGCCCUCUCUGUUCCUUACAGCUCUCUGCCAGCCCCUGCGCCUGCAGCCCCUCUCCGCCCUGUGGGUGCAGUAGCUGCCGCCCCCCCCCCCCCCCCCCCCGCCGUCCCUGCACCGGUGGGGCGGCUGCGGGCCCCGGUGCCGCCUCCGAGGCGAGGUCACGGUGGCCUUGUCCCCGCCCGCGCCCGCCUGCGUCCCGGCCCGCCCUGCCCUGCUGCAGGACUGGCACUGGGCUCGGCGCUACGGGCUGCCCUGCGUGGUUCGAGUGGACCUGAGCGGCGCCACCCCGGUCCCCAGCGCCCCCCCAGCCUUGGGCCCGCGGGUCCCGAGCCCCCCAAGCGGACCCUGGCCUUUGGCCCCUUCUCGCCAUCCAAGCGUCUGCGCCUUGUGGUCAGCCACGGCUCCAUCGCCCUUGACGUCAAUGGGGGGCACUGAGGGUAAGUGGGGGGCGCUCGGCGUGCCCCCGGCCCUCCUCCUCCUGCAGGCUGGCCCUCCACAGCUACCUAGGAGGGAGGCAGCCCAUGCCCGGGACCUGGGCACGCAAGCUGGCCUUCCGCUCAGGGCCGUCUCUCUCUUUCAACUCCCCCCUCCCUCCCCCAGUCUGUCAGGCUUGUGCAGGACACCCUGUCCCGGGUUCGAGGGUGCCCACGGCCCAGCUCUUGGGGCCAGACUUUCAGGGCUUCUCUUCCUUUCUCUCCCAGCUAGUUCCCUGAAGGCUUGAGCCAGGCGUCCCAGGAAAGUGGGGAGGGGAGGCUAGAUUUCAGGGUGCUGCUCCUCCCCCUGUGCUCGGGAUCCCCAAUCCUUUCACAGGGAGCCCGAUCCUCCUUCCCCUUGCCCGGGGCCCUCUUGGGGGGGGGGGUAUGGGGGCGGCGGCCGCCCGCACGUCUGACGAAGCAGGGAUAACCUUAGCAAGGGGCGGCCGCCACCCGGUGGCUGGAGACCCAACCCAGCAGGGAGGGACAGCAAGGAUCCCUCCCUCAGCCUCAGGAUGGUUCUAGACUUUUACCUCCUGCCUCAGUGGCACCCCGCCCCCCCCAGGGGGAAAGCCAUAAAGGGGGAGGGGAGGGGGCUCCCGCAGCCGCCCCCCCUGGCUCUCAGGGAGGCCGCCCCGCCUCAUCUUUCUCAUGGUGCUAUAGCUCCGGUGCCUCCCGGGGAGUGAGGGGAGCGGGGGCCAGCACAGCCAGCCGGGGCCCUCGGCCUCCCCACCCCGGUCCCAGGGAUUGCGGACACUGGGUGACGGGCAGUUUGCAACUGGUUUUUUAAUAAAAGUCUUCUUGUUAA
Monodelphis domestica (gray short-tailed opossum) is the source of this 3330-nucleotide non-coding RNA. NCBI's taxonomy places the organism in Eukaryota, Metazoa, Chordata, Mammalia, Didelphimorphia, Didelphidae. The record is from RefSeq and is a predicted model, not a curated record.